GAUGAACGCUGGCGGCGUGGCUAAGGCAUGCAAGUCGUAAGCUAGUAGCAAUACUGGCUUGGCAAACGGGAGCGGAACACGUACGCAACUUUCCCAAAACUGGUGAAUAGCCCUCCGAAAGGAGGAUUAAUACACCGUAACAUAUAGAGGUGGCAUCGCCUUUAUAUUAUAGCUCCGGCGGUUUUGGAUGGGCGUGCGCCUGAUUAGGUAGUUGGUGUGGUAACGGCUCACCAAGCCUACGAUCAGUAACUGGUGUGAGAGCACGACCAGUCACACGGGCACUGAGACACGGGCCCGACUCCUACGGGAGGCAGCAGUAAGGAAUAUUGGUCAAUGGACGAAAGUCUGAACCAGCCAUGCCGCGUGAAGGAUGAAGGCCCUCUGGGUUGUAAACUUCUUUUAUAGGGGACGAAAAAAGGGAAUUCUUUCCCACUUGACGGUACCCUAGGAAUAAGCACCGGCUAACUCCGUG
Molecule: ribosomal RNA, 472 nt
Filed under: uncultured bacterium
Lineage: Bacteria
Description: bacterial SSU rRNA
Rfam family: Bacterial small subunit ribosomal RNA
Source: RNAcentral